RNAcentral lists this non-coding RNA (389 nucleotides) under Amborella trichopoda. RNAcentral's name for it is "rRNA LSU_rRNA_eukarya". It matches the Rfam family "Eukaryotic large subunit ribosomal RNA", at positions 3004 to 3401 of the family's 3401-position model. Lineage: Eukaryota; Viridiplantae; Streptophyta; Magnoliopsida; Amborellales; Amborellaceae. The record is from Rfam by way of RNAcentral.
AGCAUGAUACAGUAGCAACUUAACAUAGUACAUGAGUUACUGUUGAUUCAAAGAAAUGGUCAUCGCUCUUGGUUUAAAAGCCAAUGUUACGAAACUAACAUUUGCUAAAUUAUGACUCAUCACGUCUAACUCAGAAUCCAAGCUAGGAAGAGGGACGCUUCCCUUCGAGCCGUUCCUACAAUAAGGUUUCACAAGCACCCCAGAGGCUCAUAUCGUUGGUGAAGUUUCAAGGGGUGGAUGGAUGAGCAGGAUCGCUUUGCAGUGCGAUUCUCGUUGGGCGGAAGGCAAAAUUAUUUGCUGAUGACUUGAAUAAAUUGCGGCUAUAAUAAGUGGCUGAGUGACUUUUCUACCACAAUCAUCUGACCAUGUCAUGCAAGUUUUGUGUAUUU